Molecule: ribosomal RNA, 497 nt
Filed under: uncultured bacterium
Lineage: Bacteria
Description: partial 16S ribosomal RNA
Rfam family: Bacterial small subunit ribosomal RNA
Source: RNAcentral
GAUGAACGCUGGCGGCGUGCCUAAUACAUGCAAGUCGAGCGAACAGAUGAGGAGCUUGCUCCUCUGACGUUAGCGGCGGACGGGUGAGUAACACGUGGAUAACCUACCUAUAAGACUGGGAUAACUUCGGGAAACCGGAGCUAAUACCGGAUAAUAUAUUGAACCGCAUGGUUCAAUAGUGAAAGACGGUUUUGCUGUCACUUAUAGAUGGAUCCGCGCCGCAUUAGCUAGUUGGUAAGGUAACGGCUUACCAAGGCAACGAUGCGUAGCCGACCUGAGAGGCGGAUCGGCCACACUGGAACUGAGACGCGGUCCAGACUCCUACGGGAGGCAGCAGUAGGGAAUCUUCCGCAAUGGGCGAAAGCCUGACGGAGCAACGCCGCGUGAGUGAUGAAGGUCUUCGGAUCGUAAAACUCUUUUAUUAGGGAAGAACAAAUGUGUAAGUAACUAUGCACGUCUUGACGGUACCUAAUCAGAAAGCCACGGCUAACUACGUG